AGAGAAAUUACAUCAAGAAUAUAUUUAAUUGAAAAUUAGGAUAUUUCCAAGAAGAAACAGAUACUAAGUUAAGUGGGCCUGUAUGUGCCAAGGUUAAACAUAUAUAUUUAGGUUAAAGGGAUAAUAUCCAGAACACAUUAAAAACAAACAAAUAAAAUCAAAAUAGCCUGGGAGCCAGUUUGAAGUGGCUGAAUCUUUCGUGCAUUUUUGGGUUAUUUUGGCCACAGUGUUCCUAUGUCUGGAAUUCAUGAAAUAAAAAGAGGUCCUACAGGGUUACAGUUUCCCACAAAAUUGUACUCUGAACUCUUGAUCAAGGGACUAAUGAUUAACAAUAUAAAACAGGAGUAGAGAUGACACAGUAAUUCUCUACAUUCAAAACAGAAUUACCUCACAAUCUUAUAGGAUAUAUAUUACACAAAAUGUCCACUUUAAUGAAUACAUCCAGAACAAUCCUAUAUUAUAAAGAAUAAACACUAUGUUUCAUUAACAAUAAUUUUGCUUGCUUUCUUAGAAUUUCGGUAUUUGGAGACAGAGAAGCAACGAUGAGGGAUAAUUUAAGUGGUCUGAGCAGACUGUUUUUUCUCCAGAGACUACUUUAUCAAAAAGAGACUUGCAUAACAUAAGCCUUCUAACAGGAAGUACAUUUGUUUGCUCAUUCAUUCAACCAAUAUGUAUCAAAACCGUAACAUGUGCACAGGCAAAAGGAUUUCUGCCCUGCGUGGAGUCUAGUAGGGGAAAAGAGUUCAGUUAAAAGGAUUAUGAUGUCAACUUUUAUGCUGUUAAGUUUCAUACUCCUGAAGUUGGGUAGUAAACUGCACCUUGAAGCUAGGCGGACAGUGCGUGGCCUACAGGCUUUUUGCUCUUCAUCACUGCUCUAUACGAUACGACUGUCUGGACUCUUCAGUCUGAGGCCAACAUUGCAGAUUUGCUGUUGACAUAAACCAACAUGUUUGCAAAAGGAAAAACCUCUGACUGUCAGACUGUGGGUGUGGCCAUAUUACAGUCAAGGCUAUCAGUCACAAGAAGGAUAAUAUAAAGGAAUGGUUUAGCACAGACAUAUCACUUACUGCUGGAACUAGAACUUGUAAGUUUCCCCAGAUGGUAGGUCAGCAAUAUUCUCUUCACAGUGAUAAUGAAAUGUCCUUUUGCUACUAGAGGUUAUGCACUUCCUCUGAAACUGUUAAGUGAUUCUUACUCCUCUUUUUAAGAAAUACUCUUUAAAAAUCAUAACCAUUGCAAAAAUUCAGAUGAAAGUCAAAAGUAAAAAUCUCCUAUAAUCUUAUCCCCUAGGCAUAUAUUAAUAUUUCUAUGUGAAUCUAACUAUACUUACUUCUCAGCAUACACAUUUAGCAAACAUGGAAUCAUACUAUUCAGUUUAUAACUGCUUUUUGAUCUUUGCAAUAGAUGUGGACAUUCUUCAAUAAAAUACAAUGCAGAUUUCAAUUUAUUAAUGUAGAUGUACACUCUAUUUUACUGAGUGCAUAGUAUUCCACUGCAUGUUGGUGAAUUACCCUACUGGUUGACAUUUAGGUUGUUUUGCAAUAUAUAUACACUGCAAAUAUGGAUAUGUAUAAGAAAUAAAACAUCUUGUAUAAAGAUAUAUCACCACCUUUUAACAGUCACAAUUUAUUUAAGAUAAUUCAUUAGUGACAAGAAUGACAAUGCUUCACCUCAGUCAUCAAUGAACUUUUACAAACUCAUGAAAUAAAAUUAUUUAAA
RNAcentral lists this long non-coding RNA (1719 nucleotides) under Homo sapiens (human). Its description in RNAcentral is "HSALNT0394827". Lineage: Eukaryota; Metazoa; Chordata; Mammalia; Primates; Hominidae. The record is from RNAcentral.